GGAAUCUUAGACAAUGGGCGCAAGCCUGAUCUAGCCAUGCCGCGUGAGCGAUGAAGGCCUUAGGGUUGUAAAGCUCUUUCACCGGGGAAGAUAAUGACGGUACCCACAGAAGAAGCUCCGGCUAACUCCGUGCCAGCAGCCGCGGUAAUACGGAGGGAGCUAGCGUUGUUCGGAAUUACUGGGCAUAAAGCGUACGUAGGCGGAUUAGCAAGUUUGGGGUGAAAUCCCGGGGCUUAACCCCGGAAUUGCCUCCAAAACUGCUGAUCUAGAGUCCGGGAGAGGUAAGCGGAAUUCCUAGUGUAGAGGUGAAAUUCGUAGAUAUUAGGAAGAACACCAGUGGCGAAGGCGGCUUACUGGACCGGUACUGACGCUGAGGUACGAAAGCGUGGGGAGCG
Molecule: ribosomal RNA, 395 nt
Filed under: uncultured bacterium
Lineage: Bacteria
Description: bacterial SSU rRNA
Rfam family: Bacterial small subunit ribosomal RNA
Source: RNAcentral